Molecule: unclassified non-coding RNA, 216 nt
Filed under: Hevea brasiliensis (rubber tree)
Lineage: Eukaryota; Viridiplantae; Streptophyta; Magnoliopsida; Malpighiales; Euphorbiaceae
Source: RNAcentral
AUCCUUUUCCUCACCUUUCUCAGGAACCAAACAAACCGCGAACGAUAACCGAAAACCAUUACUUAAACCACCAUUACAAAUGCUCUGCCAAAUCAAAUUCCCUCAACAAAACACCAAAUCAAACAACUCAUGACGAAUACAUAAACAAACCAUCUAAAACGAGAGGAAACGCUCCAUUUUUAAAUACAUCGAAGAGAACUCCUGCAACUAAACAUA